GUGAGGAAUUUUCCGCAAUGGGCGAAAGCCUGACGGAGCAAUGCCGCGUGAAGGAUGAAGGCCUAUGGGUUGUAAACUUCUUUUCUCAGAAAAGAAUUAUGACGGUAUCUGAGGAAUAAGCAUCGGCUAACUUUGUGCCAGCAGCCGCGGUAAGACAGAGGAUGCAAGCGUUAUCCGGAAUGAUUGGGCGUAAAGCGUCUGUAGGUUGUUUAAAAAGUAUUCUGUCAAAGAUUAGGGCUUAACCCUAGAUAGGCAGAAUAAACUUUUAAGCUAGAGUUUGGUAGAGGCAGAGGGAAUUCCCGGUGGAGCGGUGAAAUGCGUAGAUAUCGGGAGGAACACCAAAGGCGAAGGCACUCUGCUGGGCAAAUACUAACACUGAGAGACGAAAGCGAGGGGAGCAAAUGGGAUUAGAUACCCGAGUAGUCC
RNAcentral lists this ribosomal RNA (426 nucleotides) under uncultured bacterium. Its description in RNAcentral is "partial 16S ribosomal RNA". It matches the Rfam family "Bacterial small subunit ribosomal RNA", at positions 354 to 796 of the family's 1533-position model. The record is from RNAcentral.